Pantherophis guttatus is the source of this 555-nucleotide long non-coding RNA. RefSeq lists it as uncharacterized. Lineage: Eukaryota; Metazoa; Chordata; Lepidosauria; Squamata; Colubridae. The record is from RefSeq and is a predicted model, not a curated record.
UAGUGAUGUUGGGAAGCCAGUGGAUGCAAUGUGAUUUAGAACAAUCUAAUACAGUGAAAUUCUACCUUUAGGAAAGUUGGUCUUGGAUCUAAGAAACAUGGUGGGAACUUCAGCAUAACGGCACCCCGAAAGGAGGCCAUCAGGGGUGCUGAGCCCCAGCAUCUACUUAAACCUCGGGUGGUGUGAAGAUUCAGUGAAAAUGGAGGAGAAAGAAGAGAUUGCAGAGGGGGCCAUGGGUACAGAUACUCAAGGAUUUAUCGACACCCUGUGUACAUAAAAAGACAAGAUACACUCGUCAAGAAUCACAAGGCACAACACCCAGUGACAGUCAUACGGAAAGAAAUAAAACAAAUAUCGGAAGGCUUUGGAGCAAGAUGAAUAUCUAAUAGGAAAUCAAAAAGGGAGAAAAAAAAAUGAACAGUAUGAAUCAGUGAAGGUAGUAAACAGAUGGAAAUUGUACCUUUCAUACCAAGGUAAAAUCAUGGAUAAUAUUCAUACAUCUUAAUAAAAGUACAGCAGUGAUAAUUUUCAAAGCUAUUAAUCUAUGACAAAUUG